GAUGAACGCUGGCGGCGUGCCUAAUACAUGCAAGUCGAACGAUGAAGCCGGAGCUUGCUCUGGUGAAUUAGUGGCGAACGGGUGAGUAACACGUGAGUAACCUGCCCUUGACUCUGGGAUAACUGCGGGAAACUGUAGCUAAUACCGGAUACGACCCUCGGAGGCAUCUCCUGGGGGUGGAAAGAAUUUCGGUCAAGGAUGGCUCGCGGCCUAUCAGCUAGUUGGUGAGGUAAAGGCUCACCAAGGCGACGACGGGUAGCCGGCCUGAGAGGGGGACCGGCCACACUGGGACUGAGACACGGCCCAGACUCCUACGGGAGGCAGCAGUGGGGAAUAUUGCACAAUGGGCGCAAGCCUGAUGCAGCAACGCCGCGUGAGGGAUGACGGCCUUCGGGUUGUAAACCUCUUUUAGCAGGGAAGAAGCGAAAGUGACGGUACCUGCAGAAAAAGCACCGGCUAACUACGUGCCAGCCGCCGCCGUAA
Molecule: ribosomal RNA, 483 nt
Filed under: uncultured bacterium
Lineage: Bacteria
Description: partial 16S ribosomal RNA
Rfam family: Bacterial small subunit ribosomal RNA
Source: RNAcentral